AGAGUUUGAUCCUGGCUCAGGACGAACGCUGGCGGUGUGCUUCACACAUGCAAGUCGAGCGAAUGAAGAAGGUAGCUUGCUACUUAUGGAUUUAGCGGCGGACGGGUGAGUAAUAUAUAGGAAUCUGCCUUAGAGCGGGGAACAACAGACCGAAAGGUUUGCUAAUGCCCCAUAGGUAUGCAGUCUUCGGAUUGUAUAUUAAAGGAGUAAUCCACUCUAAGAUGAGCCUGUAUCCGAUUAGCUAGUUGGCGGGGUAAAGGCCCACCAAGGCUACGAUCGGUAGUUGGUCUGAGAGGAUGAUCAGCCACAAUGGGACUGAGACACGGCCCAUACUCCUACGGGAGGCAGCAGUGGGGAAUUUUACACAAUGGGGGAAACCCUGAUGUAGCGACACCGCGUGAACGAAGAAGCCUUUUGGGGUGUAAAGUUCUGUCGGCUGGAACGAAAAAAAUGACGGUACCAGCAAAGGAAGCAUCGGCUAACUACGUGCCAGCAGCCGCGGUAAGACGUAGGAUGCAGGCGUUGUCCGGAUUUAUUGGGCGUAAAGAGUUCGUAGGCGGUUAUUUAAGUCUGAUGUUAAAUACUGUGGCCCAACCACAGAACUGCAUUGGAUACUGGAUGACUUGAGUGCGGUAGAGGCAAGUGGAAUUCCCAGUGUAGCGGUGAAAUGCGUAGA
This 676-nucleotide ribosomal RNA is filed under the name uncultured bacterium. Its description in RNAcentral is "bacterial SSU rRNA". It matches the Rfam family "Bacterial small subunit ribosomal RNA", at positions 8 to 694 of the family's 1533-position model. The record is from RNAcentral.